Macrobrachium nipponense is the source of this 508-nucleotide long non-coding RNA. RefSeq lists it as uncharacterized. The transcript has 3 exons. Lineage: Eukaryota; Metazoa; Arthropoda; Malacostraca; Decapoda; Palaemonidae. The record is from RefSeq and is a predicted model, not a curated record.
UAUGGAGACCAUUAACCUGAGAUGCACCUGGAUAGUUCAUCUGCCUUUGCUUUGGAUUCCCUUGAUAAUGUGGUCUGGAAUAACGACAGUGACAGACUGUCAGGAAACCUGGUUAGCGACUGGAUACAUUUUGAAAGACCAACCGGCGUAUUCGACCACCAUGUGGACUCCCAGCAACUUGGUAUGUGCUCUCCAUGCCAGACGAUCCAUGUCCUCCAAGUUUGUUUACGCAAAUGAGACCUGUGACUUAUAUGAGAGCGUCAGUGAAACUUCAGGUCCGACCAUGAAAUUCGCCAAAAGCAUUUCUGCCAACUUGUUGGAGGAAAUCGCCAGGGGAAAGAACACCUUUGCUAGCACGCAAUAUUCGUAUUACGCAAAAGGAUUGGCUGUCGAUGGAAACAUAUCGACAUCGUACUAUUCUCUGUAUUUAGUACAGUACCCUUUCUUGAUGGUCGAUUUAGGGGAAGUUCGAACUGUGUAUCUGGUCAAGAUCCUCCCUGUGAACGAU